CCUACGGGUGGCAGCAGUGAGGAAUAUUGGUCAAUGGACGAGAGUCUGAACCAGCCAAGUAGCGUGAAGGAUGACUGCCCUAUGGGUUGUAAACUUCUUUUAUAUGGGAAUAAAAUGUUCCACGUGUGGGAUUUUGUAUGUACCAUAUGAAUAAGGAUCGGCUAACUCCGUGCCAGCAGCCGCGGUACUACGGAGGAUCCGAGCGUUAUCCGGAUUUAUUGGGUUUAAAGGGAGCGUAGGUGGAUGGUUAAGUCAGUUGUGAAAGUUUGGGGCUCAACCGGAAAAUUGCAGUUGAAACUGGCAGGCUUGAGUACAGUAGAGGUGGGUGGAAUUCGUGGUGUAGCGGUGAAAUGCUUAGAGAUCACGAAGAACUCCGAUUGCGAAGGCAGCUCACUGGACUGCAACUGACACUGAGGCUCGAAAGUGUGGGGAUCAAACAGGAUUAGAUACCCGUGUAGUC
This 460-nucleotide ribosomal RNA is filed under the name uncultured bacterium. RNAcentral describes it as "partial 16S ribosomal RNA". It matches the Rfam family "Bacterial small subunit ribosomal RNA", at positions 338 to 795 of the family's 1533-position model. The record is from RNAcentral.